RNAcentral lists this ribosomal RNA (1148 nucleotides) under Hanleyella oldroydi. Its description in RNAcentral is "partial 16S ribosomal RNA". It matches the Rfam family "Bacterial large subunit ribosomal RNA", at positions 579 to 2694 of the family's 2925-position model. Lineage: Eukaryota; Metazoa; Mollusca; Polyplacophora; Lepidopleurida; Lepidopleuridae. The record is from RNAcentral.
UAAAGUAUAAGUUAAUUUUAGUACCUUUUGCAUUAUGGUUUAACUAGAUAUUAAAAGUGACCUUUGAUUCUAGAAAACAAAAGAGCUACAUAAAAGCCAAGACAAUAAUGUAGAAAUAUUAUGUUCAGACUUUUUUGUAGAUGUGAAAUGCUUUCCGUUUUUGUUGAUAGCUAGUUGAAAGAGAAAUAUAUUUAAGUGUAGAAUUACAUUUCAAACAUAGAGAUGUACAUCUAUGUUUUAAUGUUAUUUACCUUUAAAGAGGAUAAGCUCUUUAAAGAGAAAGAAAUUUUUAAUCAAUGAUAAAUAAAAAUGUGAGCUUAAUAGUGGCAAGCAUUAAAAGAGUUUUAUAACGUUGUUUUAACAAUAAAUUAUUUUUAUAAUUCUUUAUAUAUCUUUUUCUAAUUAGGAGCUAUAACUUAAUUAAAAUUUAUGUUAAAAUGAGUAUUUAUAUCUUUUUUACUUACAAUAAUAAACUUUAAAGUAUAAGAAAAUAAAAUAUUUUAAAUAUAAAAAAGGAACUCGGCAAAAUUGUUAGCUCCGCCUGUUUACCAAAAACAUGGUUCUAUGCACUAAAGACAUAUAGAAUCGUACCUGCCCAGUGAAAGUUUUAACGGCCGCAGUACCCUGACUGUGCAAAGGUAGCAUAAUCACUUGCCUUGUAAUUGAAGGCUAGAAUGAAUGGUUUGACGAGAGCUAAGCUGUCUCUUUUAUAUUAAAUAUAAAUUAUCUUUUAGGUGCAGAGGCCUAGAUAUUAUUGAAAGACGAAAAGACCCUAUUGAGCUUAAGAAGAGUAAAAAAAUAAUAUAGAUAUCCCAAAUAAAAAUUUUUAUUUCUUCUUUUGUUGGGGCGACAAAAGAACAAAAAUAGCUUCUUUUUAUUAUAUCAACAAAUUUGUUACUUUGAUCCAUGUAUUAUGAAUAGAAGAAAAAGUUACCAUAGGGAUAACAGCGUAAUCUUUUUGGAGAGUUCUUAUUGAAAAAAAGGUUUGCGACCUCGAUGUUGGAUUAAGAGAACUUUUAGGUGUAGCCGCUAUUAAAAGUUGGUCUGUUCGACCAUUAAAUUCUUACAUGAUCUGAGUUCAGACCGGCGUAAGCCAGGUUGGCUUCUAUCUUCAAUUUAAAUCAAAAUAAAUUAGUACGAAAGGACCA